Non-coding RNA from Myotis lucifugus (little brown bat), 74 nucleotides. The record is from Rfam. NCBI's taxonomy places the organism in Eukaryota, Metazoa, Chordata, Mammalia, Chiroptera, Vespertilionidae.
GCUGUUGUUGCUCAGUAGUUAGAGCGUCAGCCUGUGCACUGAAGGGUCGUGGGUUCAAUUCCCAGUCAAGGGCA